GACGAACGCUGGCGGCGUGCUUAACACAUGCAAGUCGAACGGAAAGGCCCUGCUUGCAGGGUACUCGAUUGGCGAACGGGUGAGUAACACGUGGGUGAUCUGCCCUGCACUUCGGGAUAAGCCUGGGAAACUGGGUCUAAUACAGGACAGGAGACAUUUUUAGUCUGAUGGUUGGAAAGUUUUUUCGGUGUAGGGUGAGCUGGCGGCCUAUCAGCUUGGUGGUGGGGUAAUGGCCUACCAAGGCGGCGACGGGUAGCCGGCCUGGGAAGGUGGCCGGCAACAUUGGGACUGAGAUACGGCCCAGGCUCCGACGGGUGGGAGAAGUGGGGAAGAUUGAACAAGGAGCGCAAGCCUGAUGCAGAGACGCCGCGGGGGGGAGGACGGCCUUCGGGUUGUAAACUCAUUGCGCUAGGGACGAAGCAUUUUGUGACGGUACCUAGAUAAGAAGCACCGGCUAACUACGUG
Molecule: ribosomal RNA, 465 nt
Filed under: uncultured bacterium
Lineage: Bacteria
Description: partial 16S ribosomal RNA
Rfam family: Bacterial small subunit ribosomal RNA
Source: RNAcentral